GCCAGGCGCGGUGCUGGGCGCCUGUAAUCCCAACUACUUGGGAGGCUGAGGCAGAAGAAUCGCUUGAGCCUGGGAGGCGGAGGUUGCAGUGAGCCGAGAUCGUGCCACUGCACUCCAGCCUGGGUGACUGAGUGAGAUUCCAUGUCCAAAACAAAACUUUGCACAGAAGCCCUUUUUUUUUUUUUUUUUUUAAGACAGUCUCGCUCUGUCACCCAGGCUGGAGUGCAGUGGCGCUAUCUCAGCUCACUGUGACCUCUGCCUCCUGGGUUCAAGCGAUUCUCCUGCCUU
RNAcentral lists this signal recognition particle RNA (288 nucleotides) under Chlorocebus sabaeus (green monkey). RNAcentral describes it as "Metazoan signal recognition particle RNA". It matches the Rfam family "Metazoan signal recognition particle RNA". Rfam says of the family: The signal recognition particle (SRP) is a universally conserved ribonucleoprotein. It is involved in the co-translational targeting of proteins to membranes. Lineage: Eukaryota; Metazoa; Chordata; Mammalia; Primates; Cercopithecidae. The record is from Rfam by way of RNAcentral.